Molecule: non-coding RNA, 74 nt
Organism: Dallia pectoralis (Alaska blackfish)
Lineage: Eukaryota; Metazoa; Chordata; Actinopteri; Esociformes; Umbridae
Source: the annotation of a GenBank genome assembly
GUAGCAAUAGCUCAAUUGGACAGAGCACAAACCUUCUAAGUUUGCGGUUGUAGGUUCGAGUCCUACUUGCUACG